UACGUAGGUGGCAAGCGUUGUCCGGAUUUACUGGGUGUAAAGGGCGUGUAGCCGGGCUGACAAGUCAGAUGUGAAAUCCGGGGGCUCAACCCCCGAACUGCAUUUGAAACUGUUGGUCUUGAGUACCGGAGAGGUCAUCGGAAUUCCUUGUGUAGCGGUGAAAUGCGUAGAUAUAAGGAAGAACACCAGUGGCGAAGGCGGAUGACUGGACGGCAACUGACGCUGAGGCACGAAAGCGUGGGGAGCGAACAGG
This 253-nucleotide ribosomal RNA is filed under the name uncultured Oscillospiraceae bacterium. RNAcentral describes it as "partial 16S ribosomal RNA". It matches the Rfam family "Bacterial small subunit ribosomal RNA", at positions 524 to 776 of the family's 1533-position model. Lineage: Bacteria; Bacillati; Bacillota; Clostridia; Eubacteriales; Oscillospiraceae. The record is from RNAcentral.